RNAcentral lists this ribosomal RNA (531 nucleotides) under uncultured bacterium. RNAcentral's name for it is "partial 16S ribosomal RNA". It matches the Rfam family "Bacterial small subunit ribosomal RNA", at positions 355 to 895 of the family's 1533-position model. The record is from RNAcentral.
UGGGGAAUAUUGCACAAUGGGCGAAAGCCUGAUGCAGCAACGCCGCGUGCGGGAUGACGGCCUUCGGGUUGUAAACCGCUUUCAGCAGGGACGAAGGGUUUUCUGACGGUACCUGCAGAAGAAGCACCGGCUAACUACGUGCCAGCAGCCGCGGUGAUACGUAGGGUGCGAGCGUUGUCCGGAAUUAUUGGGCGUAAAGAGCUUGUAGGCGGUCCGUUGCGUCGGAAGUGAAAACUCAGGGCUUAACCCUGAGCCUGCUUUCGAUACGGGCGGACUUGAGGGAUGUAGGGGAGAACGGAAUUCCUGGUGGAGCGGUGGAAUGCGCAGAUAUCAGGAGGAACACCAGUGGCGAAGGCGGUUCUCUGGACAUUUCCUGACGCUGAGAAGCGAAAGUGUGGGGAGCAAACAGGCUUAGAUACCCUGGUAGUCCACGCCGUAAACGGUGGGCACUAGGUGUGGGACCCAUUCCACGGGUUCCGUGCCGUAGCUAACGCAUUAAGUGCCCCGCCUGGGGAGUACGGCCGCAAGGCU